This 70-nucleotide transfer RNA is filed under the name Faxonius luteus. Its description in RNAcentral is "tRNA-Gln". Lineage: Eukaryota; Metazoa; Arthropoda; Malacostraca; Decapoda; Cambaridae. The record is from RNAcentral.
UACAUAUAAGUGUUUAAUAGCACAAGAAGUUUUGAUCUUCUAAGAAUUGGUGGGACUCCAUUAUAUGUAA